GCCUUGCUGAUGAGUACUAAAUAGGACGAAACCUAGGUCCAAGAC
Molecule: non-coding RNA, 45 nt
Filed under: Trichobilharzia regenti
Lineage: Eukaryota; Metazoa; Platyhelminthes; Trematoda; Strigeidida; Schistosomatidae
Source: RNAcentral